GGGGCUGACAAGCUUCGACAAAAGUUCUUUCAUAAAUGAUGGCAAGCGAGAGUUGCCGCAAUCUCUCCAAAAACUUUCGGCAAACUACAAAUGCUAACACAUUUGCUUCCAAAGUAAAGAACGCUUUUGCGUCACUGGCUUUGGUACCUGCUGUUGCUUAAUUAGCGGCAGCGGUCAGACUCGCGACACCGAUAGCGAGCGCGACCUAUCAUUAUCGGUUAGAUUACCAAAGCCACCGCGACUUUGGUUGAUCAAAACUAUCUCGCGGUCCGCCUCGGCGUAUUUUGUAAAUUUUGAGCGCUGGGGUUAAAUAUUAAAAUUUACUAAGCUUGUAGAAAUCGUUUGUGUCUGCUUUUGGACGCGGGUGCAACUCCCGCCAGCUCCAUUG
This 388-nucleotide transfer-messenger RNA is filed under the name Candidatus Doudnaibacteriota bacterium. RNAcentral's name for it is "Candidatus Doudnabacteria bacterium transfer-messenger RNA". It matches the Rfam family "transfer-messenger RNA". From Rfam's summary of the family: Bacterial tmRNA, also known as 10Sa RNA or SsrA, is named for its dual tRNA and mRNA-like properties. Its role is to liberate the mRNA from a stalled ribosome. The record is from RNAcentral. Lineage: Bacteria; Candidatus Doudnaibacteriota.